This 405-nucleotide ribosomal RNA is filed under the name uncultured prokaryote. Its description in RNAcentral is "bacterial SSU rRNA". It matches the Rfam family "Bacterial small subunit ribosomal RNA", at positions 355 to 774 of the family's 1533-position model. The record is from RNAcentral.
UGGGGAAUAUUGGGCAAUGGGCGCAAGCCUGACCCAGCAACGCCGCGUGAGGGAAGAAGGUCUUCGGAUUGUAAACCUCUGUCCUUGGGGACGAAAAAAAUGACGGUACCCAAGGAGGAAGCUCCGGCUAACUACGUGCCAGCAGCCGCGGUAAUACGUAGGGAGCGAGCGUUGUCCGGAAUUACUGGGCGUAAAGGGUGCGUAGGCGGUUUGGCAAGUCAGAUGUGAAAUCCCCGGGCUUAACUCGGGUGGUGCAUUUGAAACUGCUGAACUUGAGUGCAGGAGAGGAAAGCGGAAUUCCUAGUGUAGCGGUGAAAUGCGUAGAUAUUAGGAGGAACACCAGUGGCGAAGGCGGCUUACUGGGAUGCAACUGACGCUGAGGCACGAAAGCGUGGGGAUCAAACA